AUUGGCCCUCCCCCCCCCCCACUCCCGACGCCCCCUCCCCACGUUUGGGUGCGCGGGUCAGGCUAGGCCUCUGCGGACAGCGGGGAACCGAGGAUGACCGCCGGGGACAGGGGACGGUGCGCAGGGGGGCUGGCCGCGGAGCACCGACACGGCGGCGGCGGCGGCGACGCAAGGCUAAACCUAGGAGAGCCUCUGGCUUCUCUCUACAACAAUGCAGGAUGACAGUUCUCCUUCGAGGACAGCCUGGAAGGGAGCUUGACUUCGCCACUCUCAGCAUCGACUAGGAUGUAACUGUCUGUGUUCAGCGAGAAGGAACUUAACCUUCCAGCUUCUGCAUCACUGAAGGCCCAGCCCAGCCCUGCCCCGCACCAUUCUAGCCUAGCCCAAACAAUCUCCAGCCACAACAGGUUCCCAGUCAGGAUCUUCCUGCUUGACCAACACCUCGAGAGGUCUCACCUUUCUCCUGCCUGCCUGGAGUCCAGGGCUGCUCCAGGCCUCUCCUUAUCUUGCCUGCAGCACUGUGGACACACAUUAGUUGAGCUCCAUGUCUUGGGUAAGGCUCUGCUCCCUCGGUUUCCUUAUUUACAAGCAGGAGCAGAGCAUCAGCCCAACCCAGCAAGACAGUACAGAGAAUCUGGUGAGGGUUCACAUAUGCACGCCUGACACACUUUAUUGCGGUUCUGGACCAUACAGCAGGUCCAGGACGGCAGAGGAGGAGAAGCAGCUGGCACAGGGAUUUCCAGGAUCAUGUAAUUCUGAUCAUAGUAGAGUAUCUCAUGAGGCUCAGGGAAUGUGCCUUCUCGAAUGUGUUGGGCUCUCAGAAGAGGUCUCUGAAUGCAGAAAUCCUUCCUCUAAUCCUUUACAGUGACCAAUUCAUGGUUCUCACAGGGUCAGGUGCUGUGAUGCUCAUUUGGGAUAAAGCUGAAUUUACUGUCCCCAUUUUUCCUGAGUGUGUGCUACAAGGUCCCUGGGUCUCAAGGUCAUGAGUCUGGACUUUGAACCUACAUUGAUUCCUGCCUCAGUUCUUCUCCUUACUGUUUUGUCAGCCUGAACUGGUCACGUUGUCUUUCCGAGUCUUUUAUCUACCCUCUCUGUCAAAGGUGGGUCAACAAUGUAUCCCCUCCAUCCACUCCAGGGUGAAUUGUGAUGCUGUCCUCACAGUUAAUCCUGGAUAUAGUAAAUGCCCAGCAAAUAGCUGCUGUGAAUAGUGUGCUGUUCGUGGGUCUGUCCCCCUGCAGGAAUUGCAACUGUAUCGGAUUCAUCUUCACAUGAUACAGUGCCAAGCACACAGGAAGCACCACAAAAAGAAGUAAAUAUAUAAAAAGAAAACAGCUAUUAUCAUGACUAUUAUUGCUGUGUUUGGAGCUGCUAAGGUAAAUAAUCUUUGUAGGACCUAGGGCAAAAAUACAAACAGAAGCCCACUCACCAAAUGUCUAUUUCAAUGUUGUAACUCACACUAAUAACCUAUUAAAUAAAAUAUGUUCUAGCCUCCUA
Molecule: long non-coding RNA, 1494 nt
Organism: Peromyscus californicus insignis
Lineage: Eukaryota; Metazoa; Chordata; Mammalia; Rodentia; Cricetidae
Exons: 2
Source: RefSeq, a predicted model, not a curated record